This 774-nucleotide ribosomal RNA is filed under the name uncultured Neocallimastigales. Its description in RNAcentral is "partial large subunit ribosomal RNA". It matches the Rfam family "Eukaryotic large subunit ribosomal RNA", at positions 22 to 620 of the family's 3401-position model. The record is from RNAcentral. Lineage: Eukaryota; Fungi; Neocallimastigomycota; Neocallimastigomycetes; Neocallimastigales.
CUAUACAUGACUCUGCGCAUAUCAAUAAGCGGAGGAAAAGAAACUAACAAGGAUUCCCUUAGUAACGGCGAGUGAAGCGGGAAGAGCUCAAAUUUGAAAUCUCAAGGUUUUACCUUGACGAAUUGUAGUUUAAAGAAGUGUUUUCUGCUGAAGUUUUGGUAAAAGUUCUUUGGAAUAGGACAUCAUAGAGGGUGAGAAUCCCGUAUUUGACCAUUAUUUUCAGCUUUGUGAUACACUUUCAAAGAGUCGGAUUGUUUGGGAAUGCAGUCCAAAAUGGGUGGUAAAUUUCAUCUAAAGCUAAAUAUUGGCGAGAGACCGAUAGCGAACAAGUACCGUGAGGGAAAGAUGAAAAGAACUUUGAAAAGAGAGUUAAACAGUACGUGAAAUUGUCAAAAGGGAAGCGUUUGACACCAGUGUUGUUUUCUCGAAAAUCAAUUAAAAAUGGCUCGAUUUUGUAUUGCUUGAGACCUUAAAAGCUCACUGUACAUUUUUCGUGUCUUUUUUAAUGCACUUUUCGUUUAACAAGUCAACAUCAGUUUCUUUUGUUGUAAAAGGGUCAUUGGAAGGUGGCUUUCUUUUCGGAGAAAGUGUUUAUAGCCUUUGGCCUCUGCAAUCGGAGAGACUGAGGUCUGCAGCGUAGACUCUUCGGGGUUAGAUACAUUUGUGCUAAGUUAUAGCUUUUUAUAGACAACUUGUUGACUAUAAUUAGUCUUGUAGCUUACUCGCUUAUGCUAUUUUACCUACGCUUAGGAUGUUGAAGAUGUAGCACAUCAU